CGGAAAUGGUUUUUUUUUACAACAAAAGAACAAAAAGAACCGAUAAAGGAUUUAUAGCCGUAUAGAAUGUCGCUGUAGUAAUAACAGCUUCUCGGAAACUCGUGUAUGACGAUCGCCCUCGUGUUAAUUAGCCGUGUCUCCGCACAAUGAUAUCACCAGCCGGUACACAAGGACCCGACGGACCGAUGGGAGAGAUAAGGCCAUGACUCGCUGCAAGCGGAGCUGCGUUUGCGGUCCACACAUCCAGAUGCGUGCUGCCUAGUGCUCGUCAAUACAUACCAGACAGUUUUCGUUCGAAGUUUCAUACCCUUUGGUCAGAGUGCACCAACUUCGAUGGCGAAGCCGCGCCUACACAACUGCACAGAUCAACAUUGGUGGUUUGAAGUUGAAGAUGGCGAGGUUAACGCUAACAUUGCUGGCAUUGUCAUUGACUAUCGUAUAGUUGUUGUGCAAGUAGACAAGUGGACCAAAGACGAUACAGUCUCAAUACAAGCUGGAAAACGCCAUCAUGACCAGGACGUGUACUUCGUCAAAGUCAAGAGAUUCCUUGUGGAGGAGAACCUUUUCUGCCAGAAGUUUCGUGGAUGUGUGACGGCUGAUCAGACAAGUAAUAUGAUCUGGACGCGUUUGGACCAUUCAGCAAGAUACACCCGCGAAAAGGAAAAACACUGGAGCUCACGAUCGUCGUGAAGGUAAUGUUGGGGCGGCAACAUCUUUGGUUGCUUCAACGUCCACUGCUACCACCUCCAAGUCAACACCGAAGGCUCCCAGGUCCACCUCGGUCCGAUCCAAGUCAACACCGACGGCUUCCAAAUCCAUCAACAGUGACGUCGACAGCGAGGCGGAUUUGAGCGUCAAAAGAGAACAACGCCCAUUCCAGACAAGGAACUGGUGAUUCGACUGGUCAUGGCGAGGAGACAUGUGACUGCGGAGGCGCUUGCAACUGCCACACUCCCACGUCAAACAAAGAGGAGAACUGUGAUCUUCCAGUGGGUCGCAUCAAAGAUGCCAUUUGAUCAAAACGUGCGUUCGCUGACGAUGUGCCGUCUUGAGUGCCGUUUAGAAGGAAUUGGAACCUUUUUCAUGGACCGAGACCCCGCGCAGCAAGAUUCUCCAACACGUCACCUGCACGCUUGAAUCCUCCCCACUGCGACUGAUGCUCCGUUCUCGAGCACUGUCCAAAACCGUCCCCAUUGCAACCUUUAUAUUACGACAAGUACAUGUGAUUGCGGUUUGACUACAUUCGUCCACGAACAAUAGAUUCAAUUGCUUAUUCAUAUUGCGCUAGGGUCCUGCCAUAUGAUAUUU
Molecule: long non-coding RNA, 1308 nt
Organism: Branchiostoma floridae (Florida lancelet)
Lineage: Eukaryota; Metazoa; Chordata; Leptocardii; Amphioxiformes; Branchiostomatidae
Exons: 4
Source: RefSeq, a predicted model, not a curated record